GCAUUAAUGGUGUAGCGGUAACAUACUUCCCUUCCAUGUCUGUGACAGGAAGUGCUCUGGGUUCGACUCCCAGUUAAUGCA
Aspergillus heteromorphus CBS 117.55 is the source of this 81-nucleotide non-coding RNA. The record is from the annotation of a RefSeq genome assembly. Lineage: Eukaryota; Fungi; Ascomycota; Eurotiomycetes; Eurotiales; Aspergillaceae.